This 28-nucleotide non-coding RNA is filed under the name Homo sapiens (human). Lineage: Eukaryota; Metazoa; Chordata; Mammalia; Primates; Hominidae. The record is from RNAcentral.
UGCGGUUAGAAGAUCGAAACACCCCAGC